UUCUAAGGGCGUUGAAGCAUGAUCGCAAGGACAUGUGGAGCGCUUAGAAGUGAGAAUGCCGGUGUGAGUAGCGAAAGACGGGUGAGAAUCCCGUCCACCGAUUGACUAAGGUUUCCAGAGGAAGGCUCGUCCGCUCUGGGUUAGUCGGGUCCUAAGCUGAGGCCGACAGGCGUAGGCGAUGGAUAACAGGUUGAUAUUCCUGUACCACCAUUAUUCGUUUUAAGCGAUGGGGGGACGCAGUAGGAUAGGCGAAGCGUGCUGUUGGAGUGCACGUCCAAGCAGUGAGAUUGAGUGUUAGGCAAAUCCGGCACUCUUAAGAUUGAGCUGUGAUGGGGAGAGGAACUUGUUCCUCGAGUCGUUGAUUUCACACUGCCGAGAAAAGCCUCUAGCUAGAAUAACGGUGCCCGUACCGCAAACCGACACAGGUAGUCAAGAUGAGAAUUCUAAGGUGAGCGAGCGAACUCUCGUUAAGGAACUCGGCAAAAUGACCCCGUAACUUCGGGAGAAGGGGUGCUCUUUGAGGUUCACGCUUCGAAGAGCCGCAGUGAAUAGGCCCAAGCGACUGUUUAUCAAAAACACAGGUCUCUGCUAAACCGUAAGGUGACGUAUAGGGGCUGACGCCUGCCCGGUGCUGGAAGGUUAAGAGGAGUGGUUAGCGCAAGCGAAGCUACGAAUCGAAGCCCCAGUAAACGGCGGCCGUAACUAUAACGGUCCUAAGGUAGCGAAAUUCCUUGUCGGGUAAGUUCCGACCCGCACGAAAGGCGUAACGAUUUGGGCACUGUCUCAACGAGAGACUCGGUGAAAUCAUAGUACCGGUGAAGAUGCCGGUUACCCGCGACAGGACGGAAAGACCCCGUGGAGCUUUACUGUAGCCUGAUAUUGAAAUUCGGUACAGUUUGUACAGGAUAGGUAGGAGCCUUAGAAGCGUG
This 929-nucleotide ribosomal RNA is filed under the name Staphylococcus pseudintermedius. RNAcentral describes it as "partial 23S ribosomal RNA". It matches the Rfam family "Bacterial large subunit ribosomal RNA", at positions 1239 to 2166 of the family's 2925-position model. The record is from RNAcentral. Lineage: Bacteria; Bacillati; Bacillota; Bacilli; Caryophanales; Staphylococcaceae.